Molecule: ribosomal RNA, 473 nt
Filed under: uncultured Desulfocapsa sp.
Lineage: Bacteria; Pseudomonadati; Thermodesulfobacteriota; Desulfobulbia; Desulfobulbales; Desulfocapsaceae
Description: bacterial SSU rRNA
Rfam family: Bacterial small subunit ribosomal RNA
Source: RNAcentral
GUUAGACGGGGCCGCACGAAGCGGUGGAGUAUGUGGUUUAAUUCGACGCAACGCGCAGAACCUUACUGGUCUUGACAUCCCGGGAAUUCCUUGAAAGAGGGAAGUGCCUCGCAAGAGGAGCCUGGAGACAGGUGCUGCAUGGCUGUCGUCAGCUCGUGUCGUGAGAUGUUGGGUUAAGUCCCGCAACGAGCGCAACCCUUGUCUUUAGUUGCCAUCAUUCAGUUGGGCACUCUAAGAGACUGCCGGUGUCAAACCGGAGGAAGGUGGGGAUGACGUCAAGUCCUCAUGGCCCUUAUGGGUAGGGCUUCACACGUCAUACAAUGGUCGGUACAGAGGGUUGCCAAGCCGCGAGGCGGAGCCAAUCCCACAAAGCCGAUCGUAGUCCGGAUUGUUCUCUGCAACUCGAGAGCAUGAAGUCGGAAUCGCUAGUAAUCGCAGGUCAGCAUACUGCGGUGAAUACGUUCCCGGGUCUU